AGAGUGAGUAAGAACAAAAAACUCUCUUGGCCAAUAUGAAGGUGGUCUCAGCAUUUUCUGUUCCAGAACCAAAGACUAUUCUACUUCGCAGAUGGAAUUCAAAUACCUGCGGUGUUCAAGACAGCCCCAUGGGGAUUAUGGGUGGAUGUCAGAACUAUACCUGGAUUCAGACAUGUGACACUUUCGGGCUGAAGCACUUAAGAGCCAGUGUGCCCUGUCCAUUUCUGUCUUCUGUCCUGUGGAUUUGGAAGCAUGUGUUGACUGAACAAUGUCUUAUGGUGAAGGAAGCCUAAACCCCCAAGUUAUUGGAUGGAGGAGAGCCCAUGCUGACCCGUAAAGGACUUCAUGGUCUCGCUCUGUCGCCCAGGCUGGAGUGCAGGCGUGCUGUCUUGGCUCACUGCAACUUCUGCCUCUCGAGUUCAAGAGAUCCUCAUACCUCAGCCUCCUGAGUAGCCGGGACUACAGGCAUGCACCACCACAUCCGGGGUGGGGACUCUCGUGGAAAGGCUAGAUGAUGGAGUCACGUGCUCCCUUCCCGUUCACUAGCUGCUGAUUGGCCAACUGCUCCUGCCAGCUGUCCCUGCACUCCAGCUUCCUACCAUAUGCUC
Molecule: non-coding RNA, 608 nt
Filed under: Pongo abelii (Sumatran orangutan)
Lineage: Eukaryota; Metazoa; Chordata; Mammalia; Primates; Hominidae
Source: RNAcentral